Long non-coding RNA from Mus musculus (house mouse), 614 nucleotides. RefSeq annotates it as predicted gene, 30219. Lineage: Eukaryota; Metazoa; Chordata; Mammalia; Rodentia; Muridae. The record is from RefSeq and is a predicted model, not a curated record. The transcript has 4 exons.
ACCUAGUAAGACUCUGGAAAAGAAAGAGGGAUCACCUGGAGCUACUCUUCCUACUGAACUUCUGACAUUCUCAGGUGGCUCUCCAUCCCACUUUGGGUUUUCACUAUAAUGAACGCCUUCAGCAAGCUCUGCAACUCAGGUUCCAGCACUCCCUCACUCUGAUACCAGCAUAUGAGAGACUAUGCUUGCCCUCCCUCCGACAAAGCCUCCUGUGGGUAAACAUCUGCAUCCAGGAGCAUGGAGCCAUGCAAAAUUUCCAGAACUAAAAUAUAAAAGACAAGUACAUGAAGCCUUACAAGCUGCUCUCGGUGCCCAUCAAUAUAGACCAUACUGUCCUUUCAGGGAUCCACAGAGUAAUUGGAUGCACAUUGAAAGUCGCUUAAUGAGCUGUAUCCCAUGAGAUCAUGCUGGAGACCCACGGCAGUUAAGCCUGAGUAGCCAAUUGAAGUCUGCCUUUGUAUCACGGAUAUUCUUCCUCAAAACUCUGUUGGCUCCUUCACUUGCCUGCCCCUAACUUGUCAGAAUGGGACCCUUGGCUGUAUGUUAAAAACCAGAAAUGGAAAGUUGUUUUGGUUUCCCUUAAUAAAAUCUUCACAAAUUUGAUUUUUAAUGUA